RNAcentral lists this transfer RNA (66 nucleotides) under Argopecten purpuratus. RNAcentral's name for it is "tRNA-Gly". Lineage: Eukaryota; Metazoa; Mollusca; Bivalvia; Pectinida; Pectinidae. The record is from RNAcentral.
CCUCCGUCGUUUUAAGUAAGGCCGAACCCUACCCCGAAAAUCAAGCCAGUCUUAGGGGGGAAUCAU